AUGGUUAAGUUAGAAAGGGCGCACGGUGGAUGCCUUGGCACUAGGAGCCGAUGAAGGACGGGACGAACACCGAUAUGCUUCGGGGAGCUGUAAGCAAGCUUUGAUCCGGAGAUUUCCGAAUGGGGAAACCCACUGCUCGUAAUGGAGUGGUAUCCAUAUCUUGAAUACAUAGAGUAUGAGAAGGCAUACCCGGGGAACUGAAACAUCUAAGUACCCGGAGGAAGAGAAAGCAAAUGCGAUUCCCUGAGUAGCGGCGAGCGAAACGGGAACAGCCCAAACCAAGAGGCUUGCCUCUUGGGGUUGUAGGACACUCUAUACGGAGUUACAAAGGAACGAUAUAAGCGAAGAGGUCUGGAAAGGCCCGCCAAAGAAGGUAACAGCCCUGUAACUGAAAUGUUGUUCUCUCCAGAGUGGAUCCUGAGUACGGCGGAACACGUGAAAUUCCGUCGGAAUCCGGGAGGACCAUCUCCCAAGGCUAAAUACUCCCUAGUGACCGAUAGUGAACCAGUACCGUGAGGGAAAGGUGAAAAGCACCCCGGAAGGGGAGUGAAAUAGAUCCUGAAACCGUGUGCCUACAAGUAGUCAGAGCCCGUUAACGGGUGAUGGCGUGCCUUUUGUAGAAUGAACCGGCGAGUUACGAUCCCGUGCAAGGUUAAGCAGAAGAUGCGGAGCCGCAGCGAAAGCGAGUCUGAAUAGGGCGCAUGAGUACGUGGUCGUAGACCCGAAACCAGGUGAUCUACCCAUGUCCAGGGUGAAGUUCAGGUAACACUGAAUGGAGGCCCGAACCCACGCACGUUGAAAAGUGCGGGGAUGAGGUGUGGGUAGGGGUGAAAUGCCAAUCGAACCUGGAGAUAGCUGGUUCUCUCCGAAAUAGCUUUAGGGCUAGCCUCAAGGUAAGAGUCUCGGAGGUAGAGCACUGAUUGGACU
Molecule: ribosomal RNA, 927 nt
Filed under: Enterobacter cloacae
Lineage: Bacteria; Pseudomonadati; Pseudomonadota; Gammaproteobacteria; Enterobacterales; Enterobacteriaceae
Description: bacterial LSU rRNA
Rfam family: Bacterial large subunit ribosomal RNA
Source: RNAcentral